UACGUAGGCAGCGAGCGUUGUUCGGAGUUACUGGGCGUAAAGAGUGCGUAGGCGGUCUUCUAAGUUUGGUGUGAAAUCUCCCGGCUCAACUGGGAGGGUGCGCCGAAAACUGGAAGGCUCGAGUAUGGGAGAGGAGAGCGGAAUUCCUGGUGUAGCGGUGAAAUGCGUAGAUAUCAGGAGGAACACCUGCGGUGCAGACGGCUCUCUGGACCAUCACUGACGCUGAGGCGCGAAAGCGUGGGGAGCAAACAGGAUUAGAUACCCUGGUAGUCCACGCCCUAAACGAUGCAUACUUGGUGUGGGUCAUUCAUUUGAUCCGUGCCGGAGUUAACGCGUUAAGUAUGCCGCCUGGGGAGUACGGUCGCAAGGCUGAAACUCAAAG
RNAcentral lists this ribosomal RNA (382 nucleotides) under uncultured bacterium. Its description in RNAcentral is "bacterial SSU rRNA". It matches the Rfam family "Bacterial small subunit ribosomal RNA", at positions 524 to 906 of the family's 1533-position model. The record is from RNAcentral.